CCAGACUCCUACGGGAGGCAGCAGUGGGGAAUAUUGCACAAUGGGGGAAACCCUGAUGCAGCGACGCCGCGUGAGGGAAGAAGGUUUUCGGAUUGUAAACCUCUGUCUUUGGUGACGAAAGAUGACGGUACCCACAGAGGAAGCACCGGCUAACUCCGUGCCAGCAGCCGCGGUAAUACGGGGGGUGCAAGCGUUGUCCGGAAUCAUUGGGCGUAAAGAGUUCGUAGGCGGCACGUAAAGUCUGGCGUUAAAGGCAGAGGCUCAACUUCUGUACGGCACUGGAUACUUGCGAGCUAGAAUGCGGUAGAGGUAAAGGGAAUUCCUGGUGUAGCGGUGAAAUGCUUAGAUAUCAGGAGGAACAUCGGUGGCGUAAGCGCUUUACUGGGCCGUAAUUGACGCUGAGGAACGAAAGCCAGGGUAGCAAAUGGGAUUAGAUACCCUCGUA
This 445-nucleotide ribosomal RNA is filed under the name uncultured bacterium. RNAcentral describes it as "bacterial SSU rRNA". It matches the Rfam family "Bacterial small subunit ribosomal RNA", at positions 331 to 792 of the family's 1533-position model. The record is from RNAcentral.